AUUUCCUUCUUUUCAUUUAGGUGUGAUAAUAAAAUGAAGGACAAGUGAAAAAGAAAAGGAGAAGAAAGGUGUGUUUCGUUCGAAAGUAGCUGCACCAGGAAUGUGAGCUGGAAUGAUUUACGAUUCUUUGCAAGUCAUAAAAACAUCAGCUAUAAGGGAUGGAAAGUUUUUGCAAAGAUUUGAAAGAAAAUUUACGAUGUGCUCUCAAGUUUCGAUAUAGUGGAACAGUAUCUUUAAUUACGAGAUCGAAUAAAGUUACUUUUGAUCUUACGGAUCGCAGAAUCUAUAAAUGAUCUGUCUAUAUUAAAUUAUCGAAAAAACUAUAUAAUUUUCGAUUAAUUGAGGGGUAUUUCUUUGGAAAAAAGAAUGGUCGAUCACAGCAUGCAAUUUGUAACUGGUUCUAAGUACUCGAUAUUGAUGAACAAAUUAUGAUUAAUGUCGUAAAAAAAAAGAUAAUUAAAAGUUUAAAAAAUGAACAAUGAAAAGUACUCACCUUCUUACGAUGCGGACAGCAAGAAGAUCCAUUGCCCAUGGUUCGAUCCUUCAAACGAAAGCGAAAGAAUCAACUCUCACACUAAUUCAUAACACUUUAAUACAACGCUUCCAAAAUUUUCUUCGCACAAUCAUUUCUUUCUUUCUUCACCGCUGUUUCAAGAAAAUUGCAGGCUUAUUAUCGCGUUGGUAUUCGAGCCAACCAUUCCAUCGAUAGUCCAAUCGCUUUUAUUAACAAUCUCGACAAGAUCACCUUCUCGUAAGUUUUAUAUCUGAUCCGAAGGAAAAGGUAAUC
RNAcentral lists this long non-coding RNA (787 nucleotides) under Apis florea (little honeybee). RNAcentral describes it as "uncharacterized LOC105736934, transcript variant X2". The record is from RNAcentral. Lineage: Eukaryota; Metazoa; Arthropoda; Insecta; Hymenoptera; Apidae.